Molecule: non-coding RNA, 417 nt
Organism: Trichosurus vulpecula (common brushtail)
Lineage: Eukaryota; Metazoa; Chordata; Mammalia; Diprotodontia; Phalangeridae
Source: the annotation of a RefSeq genome assembly
AUGACUGGACCACCCAUGAUCUCUGCUUCUGCUUCAGUGAUUGGGAUCCUGUUGCUUUUUGGAGGCACUUAUGGAGAUUCAGUGACCCAGACAGAAGGACCCAUCAUUCUCCCUGAGGGAACACCACUCAUACUGAACUGCUCUUAUCAGACCAGUGUAACAACACCUUACCUUUUCUGGUAUAUACAGUAUCCCAAUGAAGCUCUGAAGCUCUUCCUGAGAGAGACAUCAGGGAAAGACCAGGAGAAAGACAACAAUGGAUUUUGGGCCAAAAAGAUUAAGGAAAAAUCUUUAUUCCACCUGGAGAAAACUUCAGUGCAAAUGGGAGAUUCUGCUGUGUACUAUUGUGUUCUGAGUGACACAGUGAUGGUGACUGUAGGGGGAGCUGAACAUAAACCCCGAGAGGCACAGGAGUGA